UACGUAGGGGGCUAGAGUUGUCCGGAUUUACUGGGUGUAAAGGGUGCUCAGGUGGACUUGUAAGUCAGAUGUGAAAUUCCAAAGCUUAACUUUGGAGCUGCCUUUGAUACUGCAAGUCUGGAGUUUGAGAGAGGGUAAUGGAAUAUCUGGUGUAGCAGUGAAAUGCGUAGAUAUCAGAUAGAACACCAAUGGCGAAGGCAGUUACCUGGCUCAAAACUGACGCUAAAGCACGAAAGUGUGGGGAGCAAACAGG
RNAcentral lists this ribosomal RNA (253 nucleotides) under uncultured bacterium. Its description in RNAcentral is "partial 16S ribosomal RNA". It matches the Rfam family "Bacterial small subunit ribosomal RNA", at positions 524 to 776 of the family's 1533-position model. The record is from RNAcentral.